CAGGAAAAAUGGCUCCCCAAUAGCCGGCAUAGCCGGGUCUUUAUUCGCAGUUUCUGCUAUCGUUUGUCAGGGACUCUGCCAACUUUCCUCUCUACUCUUUUCUGUAUAUUCAUCAGUGAGAGAGCUGGUGUGAAAAUUCUCCAUCAUCGCAGAAAGUUCUAAUGGACAGUGCUGCUCCCAACAGAAAGAAUGGCAAAUACACAGGUCCUGAAGAGGCGGACAACAGAAGAAGUAACAAGGAGGGGCCAGUUCAGAGAGCAGCAAGAAUCUGCAUAGAAGUAAUCAUUUCUGGAAAUCCAGAUUACUUAGUGGCAUCUGCUGAAACACAGAUGAGUUAAAAUACUUGUUAUGAAGAGGGCCUGUACCAAUGAUUUUGAUCUUUCAUUAAAAAAGGAAAUUUCAAGCUCUUAGAAACAAAGAAAAAAUAAACGAGUGUUACAAGAAUGUUUUAAGCAUUCCGUAGAUGGCUCAAGAAUAGUAUAUGCAGGGCUGCCUUUUACAUUUAGGGCUGGACUGGGACAUGGUACGUAGGAAAUUGCAUGGUGAAGUGGUACAAGCAUCAGGCUCAAGAAUGAGAGUCCAGUUUGACAGACCAGAUGAAGAAGUGAUUAAGACCAUAGUUCUGGACUUAGACAAGCCUGGCUUUGUGACUUUGGACAAAUUAUUUGAUAACUGUAAGUGUAUUUAUCACUAAAAGGCAGAUAAUAAUAUUAUGUCAUACAGAUGCUCAUCCAUUGAUUCAACAAAUAUUAAUUGAGUGUCUUCCAUGUGCCAGGUACCUUUCUCCUCUAUAAAAUGGAACAGAAAACAAACAAA
Molecule: long non-coding RNA, 816 nt
Filed under: Homo sapiens (human)
Lineage: Eukaryota; Metazoa; Chordata; Mammalia; Primates; Hominidae
Description: HSALNT0349215
Source: RNAcentral